This 419-nucleotide long non-coding RNA is filed under the name Mus spicilegus (steppe mouse). RNAcentral describes it as "lncRNA (ENSMSIG00000012154.1)". Lineage: Eukaryota; Metazoa; Chordata; Mammalia; Rodentia; Muridae. The record is from RNAcentral.
UGGAAUUCCGGUUACAGCCUUGCUGUGUGCUCAGACUGUGUUCCUCUGCUGGAGCCCAGUUCUGGCCCCAAGGACUGCUUCUGUACAAGGCUGAUGGAGGAGAAUCACAGGGAUACGGAUAUGGCCUCUGCAGACAGAGCUGGACAAGACUCAAAUAAGGUGAGGGACUGGCCGAUGCCAGCGGGAACAUAGAAAUCAGGAGCAGCUUCGUCACAGGGGAAAGGUGAGACCAAGCAUGGGAUGUGUGGGGACGUCAUGAGUCACCAGGGUGACUGGUCUGCUUAUCCAUCACUGUGUGAAUUAUGUUGAGACUGGAGAGUACCCUCGAGGCUUGGGCAAGCCAGCCUAUUCCACACCAUCACUCCCUCCACACAAAGCAGAAUUAAAGGUAAUAUCUGCGCUCCAAUCCACUUUCUGAC